Molecule: non-coding RNA, 121 nt
Organism: Immersiella caudata
Lineage: Eukaryota; Fungi; Ascomycota; Sordariomycetes; Sordariales; Lasiosphaeriaceae
Source: the annotation of a GenBank genome assembly
GGCGAGAUGGCCGAGCGGUCUAAAGCGUCACGUUAGGGCGUUCCUUGAUAACACUCUUGAGAUCUUCUGGUCCACGAUUGCGUAGUCCGAAAGGGCGUGGGCUCGAAUCCCACUCUCGUCG